RNAcentral lists this ribosomal RNA (500 nucleotides) under uncultured bacterium. RNAcentral describes it as "partial 16S ribosomal RNA". It matches the Rfam family "Bacterial small subunit ribosomal RNA", at positions 29 to 523 of the family's 1533-position model. The record is from RNAcentral.
AUUGAACGCUGGCGGAAUGCUUUACACAUGCAAGUCGAACGGCAGCACGGACUUCGGUCUGGUGGCGAGUGGCGAACGGGUGAGUAAUACAUCGGAACGUGCCCAGUCGGGGGGGAUAACGUAGCGAAAGCUACGCUAAUACCGCAUACGAUCUAAGGAUGAAAGCGGGGGAUCGCACGACCUCGCGCGAUUGGAGGGGCCGAUGGCAGAUUAGGUAGUGGGUGGGGUAAAGGCUCACCAAGCCGACGAUCUGUAGCUGGUCUGAGAGGACGACCAGCCACACUGGGACUGAGACACGGCCCAGACUCCUACGGGAGGCAGCAGUGGGGAAUUUUGGACAAUGGGCGCAAGCCUGAUCCAGCCAUUCCGCGUGCAGGAUGAAGGCCCUCGGGUUGUAAACUGCUUUUGUACGGAACGAAAAGGCUCUGGUUAAUACCCGGGGCUCAUGACGGUACCGUAAGAAUAAGCACCGGCUAACUACGUGCCAGCCGCCGCAGUAA